This 343-nucleotide ribosomal RNA is filed under the name uncultured bacterium. Its description in RNAcentral is "bacterial SSU rRNA". It matches the Rfam family "Bacterial small subunit ribosomal RNA", at positions 28 to 334 of the family's 1533-position model. The record is from RNAcentral.
GAUGAACGCCGGCGGUGUGCCUAAUACAUGCAAGUCGUACGCACUGGCCCAACUGAUUGAUGGUGCUUGCACCGGAUUGACGUUGGAUCACCAGUGAGUGGCGGACGGGUGAGUAACACGUAGGUAACCUGCCCCGGAGUGGGGGAUAACAUUUGGAAACAGAUGCUAAUACCGCAUAACAACAAAAGCCACAUGGCUUUUGUUUGAAAGAUGGCUUUGGCUAUCACUCUGGGAUGGACCUGCGGUGCAUUAGCUAGUUGGUAAGGUAACGGCUUACCAAGGCGAUGAUGCAUAGCCGAGUUGAGAGACUGAUCGGCCACAAUGGAACUGAGACACGGUCCAU